This 1727-nucleotide long non-coding RNA is filed under the name Homo sapiens (human). RNAcentral describes it as "HSALNT0317835". The record is from RNAcentral. Lineage: Eukaryota; Metazoa; Chordata; Mammalia; Primates; Hominidae.
UCCUCCCGCCUUGGCCGUCCAAAAUUCUGGGAUUACAGGCCCUAUCAGACAUGGUCACUCUCUAAGAAGGUCUGAGCAUAGCUGAAGUGGAUCAUCUCAUUCAACUUUGGGUGACUGGUGAAUGCUGUCUGUCUGCCACUGCAUUCUUGAGCCUUCUGUCCCUGUGGUGGGGGUGGCUGUGGGGGUAGAGGCUGGCUCAGGCAUAGGGUAAGGGUACCCCGAGUGUCUGCCCAGAGACGUGGUGGUCUUCUGGUGGGCAUGCGGUGGUUUUUCCCUCCCUAGUCGUCCAAGGUUGGCUGGCAGAGAGGCUGGGGGUGCUAGGAGGGCCCCUGGGUAGGGACUGGGUCCAGGCUGCAGUGAGUCAGCCAUGGGGAGAGGCCUCGGGGAGGCUAGGUCUUAGGGGUGUGCAGCAUCCUUGGUCCAGGGAGGCAGCUGGCUCUGCCAUCAUGAGCCCCAACCCUCGGAGUUUAACUGACACAAUCAGCGAAGCCCUGGAGUGCCUGCCCCUGCCUCUGCGGAGGGAGUGACAGCCAGUGCCCACCCGUGCCCAGCCGCAGGCCCUCCCUCAUCAGGUCCCUUCCCAGAAUCCAGGCCCUGUUCAGAACCCCAGCACCCCUGCCUGCCCGCACCUCUGUGUACCCCUCCCACAUGAUGGGGUGAUAGGGCAUGGUGCCGUGCUGGAGGGGCUAGGAGGCCUCGAUGAUGGUGACGUCCAGGCAGAGACCCGAAUCGGGUGAGUCAGGUGUUGGGUGAACCUUGAGGCCAAAGACCCAGCACUGGAACCUGCUGGGCAUGCUGAGGACUAGAAGGAGGAUGGCGGGAGCGGUGGUGGCAGGAGGCGGCGAUGGAAGGGCUGGGGAGGCAGCGUAGGGCUGUGAAGACACGCCUCUGUGUUCCUGUGAGGGUGGUGGGACCAUUCCUACCCCCUCACGAGUCCUUCUCGGAACCAGACUCAGCCCCGCCACCAUCCUUCUAGGAUGGAAACCUCUGGUUCUCUGGAAGGUCCUUUGGGUCCUGUUGGUCACGGGAAUAGGUAACAGCAAACAAAACAUUUGCCCUCCUCCCCGCUCCCCAGUUCUGACAGAUGUCCACAUGGGCCAUGCGCACCAGAACCGGCCACACGCUGCACGCCCCUCCAGGCUUCCACUGGGCUGACCUGAGGCUCGUGCAUGGCCUUGCACCCCUGCCAGCCCCCAGCUCCAUCACUGUCAUAGUUGGGGUCUGUGCCUCUAGGCUGCUCCUGUGUGGCUGUCCAGCCCUGGAUCCUGGGGACACACGGCCAUCAGCUCACGGCCCUGGAGCCCAACCUUCAUCCUGUUGCCGCCGAGGCCGGCUUCUCACGCUGGGUGGGGGGCGGGCUGCCAGCUGUUUGCUGGGUUAGGACUGAACCCGCAGCGUGGCCUUCCCAGGCCAGCCUUAGUGGCCAGACUGUGUCUUUUCCAGUUUGGCUUUAGCCCUUAAAGACACUGAAGAGGUUUAAUUAUUUGCCUGCUAUUGUUGAAGGGAGUCUUUGUACUCUUUUGUUUUCUGUUUUUUGUUUGUUUGUUUGUCUGUUUUUUGCCCUGCCGGGAGCCCCUGUGCCUGAGUUACUUUUCUGCAGAUACUAUCCUGGCUUUUCUUGAGUGAAUACCCGUUUGGCUUUUUCCUGCCAUAUGUCAAGCCUCUGGAACAUCGUCAAUAUUUUUCCUCUCAUAAUGCAUAAAAAUAAAGUACAGGCUCUCACUGGA